UAGGGAAUAUUGGGCAAUGGGCGAGAGCCUGACCCAGCCAUGCCGCGUGCAGGAUGAAGGCUUUCUGAGUCGUAAACUGCUUUUGCCAGGGAAGAAAAAAGCGGAUGCGUCCGCUACUGACGGUACCUGGUGAAUAAGCACCGGCUAACUCCGUGCCAGCAGCCGCGGUAAUACGGAGGGUGCAAGCGUUGUCCGGAUUUAUUGGGUUUAAAGGGUGCGUAGGCGGCCGAUUAAGUCUGGGGUGAAAGCCCGUUGCUCAACAACGGAACUGCCCUGGAAACUGGUCGGCUUGAGUACAGACGAGGGUGGCGGAAUGGAUGCUGUAGCGGUGAAAUGCAUAGAUAGCAUCCAGAACCCCGAUUGCGAAGGCAGCUGCCUAGACUGUAACUGACGCUGAGGCACGAAAGCGUGGGGAGCGAACAG
This 423-nucleotide ribosomal RNA is filed under the name uncultured bacterium. RNAcentral describes it as "bacterial SSU rRNA". It matches the Rfam family "Bacterial small subunit ribosomal RNA", at positions 355 to 775 of the family's 1533-position model. The record is from RNAcentral.